CAGUAUAAACGUCCACUUGAACGUUGUAAGUUGGCUUACUGUUUACCUGAUCGGCUAACACAUUAGCUUCUCGGCUGGCAUUAACGUUACGCUAGCUAGCUAGCAAACGUUAGCAAGGGAGCUAAAGUAUACAUAUUAUCAAAAUAACAAGAAAAACAUCUGAAAAAAUAACAACACAAAUGUUAGGAUAUUAAACAGUAUAGAGCUCAAUGAAUCCACUAAUUUGGUUAAGUUAGCUGAAUGAGCUGGCUGUGGCAUGUUUGCUAGCUAAUGCUGAUAUGGCUAAGCUAGCUGAGUCACUGUUGCAGGGCCCAGGAACCUAAAAACACCGUAACAGUUACCGAUGGUCAAUAUAAAGAAAACAAGAGCAGUAUGACUUCAGAUAUUAUCUGUAUUAUUUACCUUCGGCUGGGAAUUCUUCAAACUCGUCAUCUUCCUCCAGUAAGCCCAGGUCCACGGUCUGUUUCUUGUCUGACAUGUUCGCUGUGCUGCCGCUGUGUUGCUGUUUGUUAAUGAAUGGCUCUAAAAACGCAGGACUUGUGGGACGCUGGCGCUGUUCGAGCGGGUACAGAUUGCGCAACUGCGCAGGAAAGGACAGAAGUCUGGUGCUGGUGCAAGGCAACUGUUGUACAAAUGACAGAGGCAGAGCAGGCCUUGCAGCUGUGUUUCUGAGACCUCACCACCCCCUAAGAGAUCCUUCUUCCUCGCCAUGAUUUCACAGACCUCCACUUACUCCAUUGUGCCGAGAAACAAAAAAUAAAAGAAACACAAUCGCCUUGUCCUCUUUCUCAUCUUAAUAAGCAGCUCCAAGUUUGAUAAUUACACGUUCAGCCCGCCGCAUGAGUUUCUAUGCAGUGUUCGCAUCAGGGAGAAAGCCAUUGACUCCGCUGUUGAGGGGAGCAACUGU
Molecule: long non-coding RNA, 907 nt
Organism: Micropterus dolomieu (smallmouth bass)
Lineage: Eukaryota; Metazoa; Chordata; Actinopteri; Centrarchiformes; Centrarchidae
Exons: 3
Source: RefSeq, a predicted model, not a curated record